GACGAACGCUGGCGGCGUGCUUAACACAUGCAAGUCGAGCGGUAAGGCUCCUUCGGGUAGUACACGAGCGGCGAACGGGUGAGUAACACGUGAGCAAUCUGCCCAUCACAUCGGGAUAACUUCGGGAAACCGAAGCUAAUACCGAAUACAACCACUUCAGGCAUCUGACGGUGGUGGAAAUGUUCCGGCGGUGAUGGAUGAGCUCGCGGCCUAUCAGCUUGUUGGUGGGGUAAUGGCCUACCAAGGCUUCGACGGGUAGCCGGCCUGAGAGGGUGACCGGCCACACUGGGACUGAGACACGGCCCAGACUCCUACGGGAGGCAGCAGUGGGGAAUAUUGGACAAUGGGCGAAAGCCUGAUCCAGCAACGCCGCGUGA
RNAcentral lists this ribosomal RNA (377 nucleotides) under uncultured bacterium. RNAcentral's name for it is "bacterial SSU rRNA". It matches the Rfam family "Bacterial small subunit ribosomal RNA", at positions 28 to 404 of the family's 1533-position model. The record is from RNAcentral.